Molecule: ribosomal RNA, 1390 nt
Filed under: uncultured bacterium
Lineage: Bacteria
Description: bacterial SSU rRNA
Rfam family: Bacterial small subunit ribosomal RNA
Source: RNAcentral
AGAGUUUGAUCCUGGCUCAGGAUGAACGCUGGCGGCGUGCCUAACACAUGCAAGUCGAGCGAGAAACUCAUGACCAAUACUUCGGUUGCGUGAUUGAGCGGAAAGCGGCGGACGGGUGAGUAACGCGUAGGCAACCUGCCCCUUGCAGAGGGAUAGCCUCGGGAAACCGGGAUUAAAACCUCAUAAUGCGCAAGUGUGACAUCUCACAUGCGCCAAAGAUUUAUCGGCAUACGAUGGACCCGCGUCUGAUUAGGUAGUUGGUGAGGUAACGGCCCACCAAGCCGACGAUCAGUAGCCGACCUGAGAGGGUGACCGGCCACAUUGGGACUGAGACACGGCCCAAACUCCUACGGGAGGCAGCAGUGGGGAAUAUUGCACAAUGGGGGAAACCCUGAUGCAGCGACGCCGCGUGAGUGAAGAAGUAUUUCGGUAUGUAAAGCUCUAUCAGCAGGGAAGAAGAUGACGGUACCUGCACAAGAAGCCCCGGCUAACUACGUGCCAGCAGCCGCGGUAAUACGUAGGGGGCAAGCGUUAUCCGGAUUUACUGGGUGUAAAGGGAGCGCAGACGGUUAUGCAAGUCAGAUGUGAAAGGCUGGGGCUCAACCCCGGGACUGCAUUUGAAACUGUAUAACUGGAGUGCCGGAGAGGUAAGCGGAAUUCCUAGUGUAGCGGUGAAAUGCGUAGAUAUUAGGAGGAACACCAGUGGCGAAGGCGGCUUACUGGACGGUAACUGACGUUGAGGCUCGAAAGCGUGGGGAGCAAACAGGAUUAGAUACCCUGGUAGUCCACGCGGUAAACGAUGAAUACUAGGUGUUGGUGGGCAAAGCCCAUCGGUGCCGUCGCAAACGCAAUAAGUAUUCCACCUGGGGAGUACGUUCGCAAGAAUGAAACUCAAAGGAAUUGACGGGGACCCGCACAAGCGGUGGAGCAUGUGGUUUAAUUCGAAGCAACGCGAAGAACCUUACCAAGUCUUGACAUCCCGGCGACCGGACAGUAACGUGUCCUUUUCUUCGGAACGCCGGAGACAGGUGGUGCAUGGUUGUCGUCAGCUCGUGUCGUGAGAUGUUGGGUUAAGUCCCGCAACGAGCGCAACCCUUAUUGUCAGUAGCCAGCAGGUAAAGCUGGGCACUCUGAUGAGACUGCCAGGGACAACCUGGAGGAAGGUGGGGAUGACGUCAAAUCAUCAUGCCCCUUAUGAUUUGGGCUACACACGUGCUACAAUGGCGUAAACAAAGGGAAGCGAACCUGCGAGGGUGAGCAAAUCUCAAAAAUAACGUCUCAGUUCGGACUGUAGUCUGCAACCCGACUACACGAAGCUGGAAUCGCUAGUAAUCGCGAAUCAGCAUGUCGCGGUGAAUACGUUCCCGGGUCUUGUACUCACCGCCCGUCA